This 193-nucleotide non-coding RNA is filed under the name Oscillospiraceae bacterium. Its description in RNAcentral is "6S RNA". It matches the Rfam family "6S / SsrS RNA". Rfam says of the family: E. coli 6S RNA was the first non coding RNA to be sequenced, but its function was unknown until recently. It consists of 184 nucleotides that fold into an extended hairpin structure with a large single-stranded internal bulge. The record is from RNAcentral. Lineage: Bacteria; Bacillati; Bacillota; Clostridia; Eubacteriales; Oscillospiraceae.
AACUUCCUGCCUGAUUCGUGAACGGGGCAAAAUAACCCUACAACCUUUAAAUCGGGAGCUUUGCUCCGGCAGUGGCGUGCAGACCUCCUCUCUUAUCAAGAGGGACGAAGGGAGCCAAAAGCUGUCGGGAGAGCACCCACCUGCUUUUUUAGUAGCAGGUUAUAUUAUGCUCUUACGGUCAGGCGGGUUUUUA